Cotesia glomerata is the source of this 575-nucleotide long non-coding RNA. RefSeq lists it as uncharacterized. Lineage: Eukaryota; Metazoa; Arthropoda; Insecta; Hymenoptera; Braconidae. The record is from RefSeq and is a predicted model, not a curated record. The transcript has 2 exons.
UGUCUCAUAGAUAUAAUAUAACAUCCCACAUAGGCUUGCUUAUUAACAGAUCCGGUCACGUCACUUUUUUUAUAUAUUUUUUUUACAAUUAGAUCUUGAUGCUUAUUUUUAUGGAUUUAUUGUUUAUUUACGUCAAUCUGUGACGUUAUGGAUACUUUUGAGCGUUAUGGAACAAGUGAGUGAAUUCAACAUGGCGAAAAGGUUAUAACGGCUUAGGUUUUUACUUCCAAUGUAAAUGUACAGGAGUACAGUGGUUUUCUGUACAUUGUAUGUAACUCUAUGGGACAAGUGAAAGGCUCGAGAGAAAUAAUUUUUUUUUUAAUAAUGACGAUGAGUACUUUAUUCUGCACACAGAUGAAUGAAAUAAUGUACUCGAUAUACUUUAAUUACACGUAUAAUAUUUAAUAUCUAAUUUUACUAUACAGAAUUAUUUCUGUUAGAAAUAUGAGUUGUUUGAAAGCAAAAACGUGAGAAGUAAAACAAUAAUUAUGGAAAUUGACACAGAUUGUUGGAUGAGGUCAAUGAAUUAAUUUAUUGCAGAUGUAUUAUUUUUAUUAAAAUAUUUAUUGAAGUUA